Molecule: unclassified non-coding RNA, 2900 nt
Filed under: Hevea brasiliensis (rubber tree)
Lineage: Eukaryota; Viridiplantae; Streptophyta; Magnoliopsida; Malpighiales; Euphorbiaceae
Source: RNAcentral
UUUUUAAGUGUAUAAAUACUGUAUAAUAGAAUAUAAUGUAGUCGAGUUCUGUUUUUGAGAAGGAAAAAGGAUGUUAGAACGUGCUUAUUAAAUUUUACUUUGAUGAAUUGCAUUGUUUUCAUACUAGAAGUUCUUCUUGUUGAUAGUCCCUUUUCUGGGCAGCACUAACAUUUCUUUGCUGAGGUAGAUAUUGCACUUGCGAUGAUAAUGAGCAAAUGCUUUUCGUAGUUUUUCAUUUUUUUCCUUCAAAAAAAAAAAAAGCUAUGAUCUAGCUUACUCUUAUCUUGUAUAGUGUUGGGCCUUAUUCUAACUAACUGUCAAAUUGUAAGAAAGCUUUAGUGAGAAUAACAAAUGAUUAGCCAGUUGUUUGAAAUGCUGUUCACUGAUCUUGAAUGGUUUAGUUAUAAAUUAUUAUUUUAUAUAAUGUUGUUUAUUUAUUUACCAAUAAAAGUUGGUGAGAUUUAGGGCUGGUCUAGAAAGGAAAACUUGAACCCGCUCUUCACAAACUCUGUGGAGACUCUGCCAUUAGGUUGACAUCCUACAGCUCAAAAUAUAGCUAAGAGUAUCGUUGAUGUGCAGUUAUGGAAAUUGGAGUAAAAUGUACCUGAUUUUGUGGGACAGGCCAGAUGAUUUUGCCAGUCUUCUCAACUUCAUUUUCCAAUUGAUUGCCCUAAUACCCUAAACUGUGUUGUAGCUUGGACUCAAACUGUUGGAAUGGGUGAAGUUGUAGCUCACCGCUCACAUCCCUUGUCUUUCAACUCCAUGAAAUUCUUUACAUCAAAAAGAAUAUGGAAACCAGAAGGAAAACAAUUUUGAUGACUUCUUUUUGCUUCUCUCCUUCCAUAAGGAGAGCCAUAUAUGAUAGAGUACACAUAGUUAAACGGCUUUACACGUUAGUAGUUGGAACUUGGAAUGAUAGAUGUGCACUGUGUUACAUUUUGUUCUGCGCAUUUUGUUAGUAGGAAUUAAACAACAUUCCCCAAAUUGCUAAAUUUAGCUCUUUGAUAUAAAAAUGAUCCAGUAGGUUCCAUAUUGCACAUGAUAGAGUGGUUGGCAAGUAUGCUAGAAUGUUUUGGGUUCCCAUUUCAUACAGGAAGAAAGCUAAGGGAGGAGAAUGUUACCUUAUAAGUUGGCUCAAAUAUAUAUUAUUUGUUGAAAGUUUGAUGAUACAUGUCUGCAGAGAAUUAUAGAAUUGUUUGUUGUUAUAUUUCUAUGGUGUAGCUACAUUGAAAAUAUCUUCCGUCUGAAUUUUGGGAUGUUAUAUGUCUCAUGCGAAUGCAAUUUGUUGGUAAAAUGUUUGCAGGUGGAUGGAUGCAACAUUAGUUGACUUCUAUAUCAAUGUUGUGUGUAUUUCGGUACGUCUCAAUUAUUCCAGUCUUUCUAAGGUCCAUUAUCAUUUGAAAGUUAAAGUUUAUCAGCUUCUGACAUGAUAUAUUUCACCUACAAGGUCAGAGGAGACAUCUACACAGGAUAUGCAAUGAUGCAAUUUAAGCCUCUCUACUAAUGUAACCCUAAAUUGAGUCAAAUGGAAGAAAAAGGAUUCAUAUGACCAACUUUGACUAGAUUGAAGUUAAAAAUUAGUUGAGUUGAGCUUAAGCAUAGUAAAUAAAAAUUUGGUUUAUAGUUUAGCUGACAAUGUAGUUUAGCUUAGUUCAACUCAGUGGUUUAGGCCAAAUAAUGUGCACCCCAAGCUGAGAACCUCAACUUAUAAGUCUAAAAUCUUCAAAUCACUGCCAUUGUGGGCAUCAAGAUAUUCAAUAAAUAUUUGUAUAUUAUCUUAAAGAUCUUGUUGUAUGCAUUAUUUGAAUCAAUAAUGUCAUUUUGUGUUUGAAUCUAGGUUUGGGUUGCCUACAAGGAAUCAAGUUGGAUUAGUUCAUUCUUGUGGAUUACUUUCUUGAUAUGUUUUGGCAGGUAAUACAUCCUUCAUAAUUUUGACUCUCAAACAUAAAUUGUUAUUUAUUUGUUGAAGAAUAAUAUUCAUACUAAAAAUGCAGCUUCCUAUGGAAUCUAUCAAUCCACUGUACUCUAUAAUUUUCUAAAAGAUGAAAAAAAAAGAAGAAGGAAAGUAAGCUUUAUUCAUAAGAAAUUAGGAAUGGAAUUGCACUGGCAUUUUCCUUUUAUGUUACUCAUCUUACACCAGCAUGUGUUAUGAUAUAUUAUUAAUGGAAUUCAGUAGUACUGAUAUUGCUGUGAAAGUUCCAUAGUCAUUAUGAAAUAUAUCUGCCCUUCAAAGGUACAAGAAUCUAGCAGAACAUAAUGGAAAUGAUUGUAUGAAAAAUUGGUAUUCUUAGUACGAAAUUAAGGCACUUUUCUUCUGCAUAAUUUUUCGCUGUCCAAAGCUCAUCUCACACCAGCAUUUGCAUAUUGUUAACACUAUAUUGCUAUCAACAACUGAUAUUUCACUAUUCCAACUUUUCAGCGUUGCAACUUGUGCCUAUAUCUUCGUACAGCUUUUGCAGCUUACUUCUCAAGAUCCUCUCUACCUAGUUUUAUUGAAUAAAGACGACAGAAAACAGGUAUGAGAGAACUUAGCAAGAAAGGAGUUUGUUGACAUGAGGAUCUUAGGCCAAAAUGGUAUGUUUAUACAUUUCUGACAGUAUGACUGUGUAUAGCUUCUGGAUUCUCAUUUGAAAUGUUAAUUAGGAUUCAAGUUGUUUUGACAGAUUGAAUAAUCUUUUUCUGAAGGAUCUCAAAUCACUAUGGAUUUAUGCCAUAAUAACAGAUUGAAGCAGUAUAAUUAAUGUAAAUUACUUCUUUAACUACUCCUUGGAAUAUUUUACUGUAAAUGCAAGUUUGAGAUUGUGGGCAAAAUUGCAAUAUUAACCAGGGAUUGUUUUUGGGAGCGGUAGUGUGUCAUGUUGAAGUAAAGAUACAAUUUAAUGUUCAAAUUGGCACUUGAA